Molecule: ribosomal RNA, 427 nt
Filed under: uncultured beta proteobacterium
Lineage: Bacteria; Pseudomonadati; Pseudomonadota; Betaproteobacteria
Description: partial 16S ribosomal RNA
Rfam family: Bacterial small subunit ribosomal RNA
Source: RNAcentral
UGGGGAAUUUUGGACAAUGGGGGCAACCCUGAUCCAGCCAUGCCGCGUGCGGGAAGAAGGCCUUCGGGUUGUAAACCGCUUUUGUUCGGGAAGAAAAGGCCUGGGUUAAUACCCUAGGUUCUUGACGGUACCGGGAGAAUAAGCACCGGCUAACUACGUGCCAGCAGCCGCGGUAAUACGUAGGGUGCGAGCGUUAAUCGGAAUUACUGGGCGUAAAGCGUGCGCAGGCGGUGAGUUAAGUCUGAUGUGAAAGCCCCGGGCUCAACCUGGGAACGGCAUUGGAAACUGGCUCGCUGGAGUGUGGCAGAGGGGGGUGGAAUUCCGCGUGUAGCAGUGAAAUGCGUAGAGAUGCGGAGGAACACCGAUGGCGAAGGCAGCCCCCUGGGCCAACACUGACGCUCAGGCACGAAAGCGUGGGGAGCAAACA